RNAcentral lists this ribosomal RNA (484 nucleotides) under uncultured bacterium. RNAcentral's name for it is "partial 16S ribosomal RNA". It matches the Rfam family "Bacterial small subunit ribosomal RNA", at positions 30 to 507 of the family's 1533-position model. The record is from RNAcentral.
AUUGAACGCUGGCGGCAGGCCUAACACAUGCAAGUCGAGCGGAUGAAGGGAGCUUGCUCCUGGAUUCAGCGGCGGACGGGUGAGUAAUGCCUAGGAAUCUGCCUGGUAGUGGGGGAUAACGUCCGGAAACGGGCGCUAAUACCGCAUACGUCCUGAGGGAGAAAGUGGGGGAUCUUCGGACCUCACGCUAUCAGAUGAGCCUAGGUCGGAUUAGCUAGUUGGUGGGGUAAAGGCCUACCAAGGCGACGAUCCGUAACUGGUCUGAGAGGAUGAUCAGUCACACUGGAACUGAGACACGGUCCAGACUCCUACGAGAGGCAGCAGUGGGGAAUAUUGGACAAUGGGCGAAAGCCUGAUCCAGCCAUGCCGCGUGUGUGAAGAAGGUCUUCGGAUUGUAAAGCACUUUAAGUUGGGAGGAAGGGCAGUAAGUUAAGACCUUGCUGUUUUGACGUUACCAACAGAAUAAGCACCGGCUAACUUCGUG